RNAcentral lists this ribosomal RNA (457 nucleotides) under Toxopoda soror. RNAcentral describes it as "partial 16S ribosomal RNA". It matches the Rfam family "Bacterial large subunit ribosomal RNA", at positions 1857 to 2569 of the family's 2925-position model. The record is from RNAcentral. Lineage: Eukaryota; Metazoa; Arthropoda; Insecta; Diptera; Sepsidae.
ACCUGCCCACUGAAAAAUUUUAAAUGGCCGCAGUAUCUUAACUGUGCAAAGGUAGCAUAAUCAUUAGUCUUUUAAUUGAAGGCUGGUAUGAAUGGUUGGACGAGGUAUUAACUGUUUCAAUUAAAUUUGUUAUAGAAUUUUAUUAUUUAGUCAAAAAGCUAAAAUUUUAUUAAAAGACGAGAAGACCCUAUAAAUCUUUACUUAAUUAUUUAUUUUAAUUAUAAAGAUUUAUUUAAUUAUAAUAAAUAAUUAAGUUUUAUUGGGGUGAUAUUAAAAUUUAAAAAACUUUUAAUUUGUUUUUACAUAAAUUAAUGAAUUAUUGAUCCAUAAAUUGUGAUUAAAAAUUUAAGUUACUUUAGGGAUAACAGCGUAAUUUUUUUGGAGAGUUCAUAUCGAUAAAAAAGAUUGCGACCUCGAUGUUGGAUUAAGAAAAAUUUUAGGUGUAGUAGCUUGAAAA